This is a long non-coding RNA of Aquila chrysaetos chrysaetos, 349 nucleotides long. RefSeq lists it as uncharacterized. The transcript is spliced from 3 exons. Lineage: Eukaryota; Metazoa; Chordata; Aves; Accipitriformes; Accipitridae. The record is from RefSeq and is a predicted model, not a curated record.
GGGACAUGUUGGGGACACCGCGGCACUGUCACCCCGUCACCGGCUACAGCCUGGCUCCCCCGCGGCCUCACCGUGUCGGUGAACUGAUGGACACAUGGACAGAGCUGCCAUCACCUCCAGAGGUUCUGCAGCCGCCGAGCACCAGAGCGAUCCUCAUCCAGCACCACGUUAUCGAUGUUGGAAGCUGUGAGGAAAAGGAAGGAACAAGGAGUGGCGGUGGAGGAUGGAGCAAAUAAUAGCAGCAAAACCACCCGCGGGUGAGGGGGGAACAAAGGGGAAGGAAUCAAAAUUCAGACGGCAGCACGGGGGGGGGGGGGGGAAGGGAGGGGGACAUAAAAGCAAAAGAAAC